RNAcentral lists this ribosomal RNA (484 nucleotides) under uncultured bacterium. RNAcentral describes it as "partial 16S ribosomal RNA". It matches the Rfam family "Bacterial small subunit ribosomal RNA", at positions 30 to 507 of the family's 1533-position model. The record is from RNAcentral.
AUUGAACGCUAGCGGGAUGCUUUACACAUGCAAGUCGAACGGCAGCGCGGACUUCGGUCUGGCGGCGAGUGGCGAACGGGUGAGUAAUGUAUCGGAACGUGCCCAGUAUCGGGGGAUAACUACGCGAAAGCGUAGCUAAUACCGCAUACGCCCUACGGGGGAAAGCAGGGGAUCGUAAGACCUUGCACUAUUGGAGCGGCCGAUAUCGGAUUAGCUAGUUGGUGAGGUAACGGCUCACCAAGGCGACGAUCCGUAGCUGGUUUGAGAGGACGACCAGCCACACUGGGACUGAGACACGGCCCAGACUCCUACGGGAGGCAGCAGUGGGGAAUUUUGGACAAUGGGGGCAACCCUGAUCCAGCCAUCCCGCGUGUGCGAUGAAGGCCUUCGGGUUGUAAAGCACUUUUGGCAGGAAAGAAACGUCGCGGGCUAAUACCCCGUGGAACUGACGGUACCUGCAGAAUAAGCACCGGCUAACUACGUG